UACGUAGGGCGCAAGCGUUGUCCGGAAUUAUUGGGCGUAAAGAGCUCGUAGGCGGUUUGUCGCGUCUGCUGUGAAAACCUAAGGCUCAACCUUGGGCUUGCAGUGGGUACGGGCAGACUAGAGUGCGGUAGGGGUGACUGGAAUUCCCGGUGUAGCGGUGGAAUGCGCAGAUAUCAGGAGGAACACCGAUGGCGAAGGCAGGUCACUGGGCCGCAACUGACGCUGAGGAGCGAAAGCAUGGGGAGCGAACAGG
This 253-nucleotide ribosomal RNA is filed under the name uncultured bacterium. Its description in RNAcentral is "partial 16S ribosomal RNA". It matches the Rfam family "Bacterial small subunit ribosomal RNA", at positions 524 to 776 of the family's 1533-position model. The record is from RNAcentral.